AUGACGAGUGGCGGACGGGUGAGUAAUGCUUGGGAACUUGCCUUUGCGAGGGGGAUAACAGUUGGAAACGACUGCUAAUACCGCAUAAUGUCUUCGGACCAAACGGGGCUUCGGCUCCGGCGCAAAGAGAGGCCCAAGUGAGAUUAGCUAGUUGGUAAGGUAACGGCUUACCAAGGCGACGAUCUCUAGCUGUUCUGAGAGGAAGAUCAGCCACACUGGGACUGAGACACGGCCCAGACUCCUACGGGAGGCAGCAGUGGGGAAUAUUGCACAAUGGGGGAAACCCUGAUGCAGCCAUGCCGCGUGUGUGAAGAAGGCCUUCGGGUUGUAAAGCACUUUCAGUUGUGAGGAAAAGUUAGUAGUUAAUACCUGCUAGCCGUGACGUUAACAACAGAAGAAGCACCGGCUAACUCCGUGCCAGCAGCCGCGGUAAUACGGAGGGUGCGAGCGUUAAUCGGAAUUACUGGGCGUAAAGCGCACGCAGGCGGUUUGUUAAGCUAGAUGUGAAAGCCCCGGGCUCAACCUGGGAUGGUCAUUUAGAACUGGCAGACUAGAGUCUUGGAGAGGGGAGUGGAAUUCCAGGUGUAGCGGUGAAAUGCGUAGAUAUCUGGAGGAACAUCAGUGGCGAACGCGACUCCCUGGCCAAGGACUGACGCUCAUGUGCGAAAGUGUGGGUAGCGAACAUGAUUAGAUACCCUGGUAGUCCACACCGUAAACGCUGUCUACUAGCUGUGUGUGUCUUUA
Molecule: ribosomal RNA, 744 nt
Filed under: Alteromonas macleodii
Lineage: Bacteria; Pseudomonadati; Pseudomonadota; Gammaproteobacteria; Alteromonadales; Alteromonadaceae
Description: bacterial SSU rRNA
Rfam family: Bacterial small subunit ribosomal RNA
Source: RNAcentral